GACAACAACAACAACAACAACAACAACAACAACAACAACAACAACACCACCACCAGCGCCACACCACAGCCGUCGUCUUUCUGCAGGGCCACACACCUCGCGCAGACGGCAAGAGAAAUGUGGAGCAGAUCGCGAACACACCAGGCGUUCCUCGCGUCCUGGAGAGAUUUCGACGCUGUGGUGGGGCCGGGGACCUGAGCGGCGGCGGUGGAC
Portunus trituberculatus (swimming crab) is the source of this 213-nucleotide long non-coding RNA. RefSeq lists it as uncharacterized. The transcript is spliced from 3 exons. NCBI's taxonomy places the organism in Eukaryota, Metazoa, Arthropoda, Malacostraca, Decapoda, Portunidae. The record is from RefSeq and is a predicted model, not a curated record.